GACGAACGCUGGCGGCGUGCCUAAUACAUGCAAGUAGACCGCAGUUGCGAACGGGUGAGUAACGCGUAUGUAACAUGCCUCAUAGCGGGGGCUAACUAUUGGAAACGAUAGCUAAAACCGCAUACUGUUAGCUGGACCUGCGUUGCAUUAGCUAGUUGGUGAGGUAAAGGUUAACCAAGGCGACGAUCAAUAGCCGGCCUGAGAGGGUGAUCGGCCACACUGGAACUGAGCCACGGCCCAGACUCCUACGAGAGGCAGCAGUAGGGAAUCUUCGGCAAUGGACGCAAGUCUGACCCAGCAACGCCGCGUGAGUGAAGAAGGUUUUCGGAUCGUAAAACACUGUUGUUAGAGAAGCGGUAUCUAACCAGAAAGCCACGGCUAACUCCGUGCCAGCAGCCGCGGUAAUAC
This 408-nucleotide ribosomal RNA is filed under the name uncultured bacterium. RNAcentral describes it as "partial 16S ribosomal RNA". It matches the Rfam family "Bacterial small subunit ribosomal RNA", at positions 28 to 526 of the family's 1533-position model. The record is from RNAcentral.